Molecule: ribosomal RNA, 403 nt
Filed under: Photobacterium sp. AZTITEMP120
Lineage: Bacteria; Pseudomonadati; Pseudomonadota; Gammaproteobacteria; Vibrionales; Vibrionaceae
Description: bacterial SSU rRNA
Rfam family: Bacterial small subunit ribosomal RNA
Source: RNAcentral
GAGCAUGUGGUUUAAUUCGAUGCAACGCGAAGAACCUUACCUACUCUUGACAUCCAGAGAAUUCGCUAGAGAUAGCUUAGUGCCUUCGGGAACUCUGAGACAGGUGCUGCAUGGCUGUCGUCAGCUCGUGUUGUGAAAUGUUGGGUUAAGUCCCGCAACGAGCGCAACCCUUAUCCUUGUUUGCCAGCACAUAAUGGUGGGAACUCCAGGGAGACUGCCGGUGAUAAACCGGAGGAAGGUGGGGACGACGUCAAGUCAUCAUGGCCCUUACGAGUAGGGCUACACACGUGCUACAAUGGCGUAUACAGAGGGCUGCAAACUAGCGAUAGUAAGCGAAUCCCACAAAGUACGUCGUAGUCCGGAUUGGAGUCUGCAACUCGACUCCANGAAGUNNGAANCGCUA